Molecule: ribosomal RNA, 253 nt
Filed under: uncultured bacterium
Lineage: Bacteria
Description: partial 16S ribosomal RNA
Rfam family: Bacterial small subunit ribosomal RNA
Source: RNAcentral
UACGAAGGUCCCAAGCGUUAUCCGGAUUUAUUGGGUUUAAAGGGUGCGUAGGCGGGUUGUUAAGUCAGUGGUGAAAGCUCCAUGCCUAACAUGGAAAUUGCCAUUGAUACUGUUAAACUUGAAUUAUUAGGAAGUAACUAGAAUAUGUAGUGUAGCGGUGAAAUGCUUAGAGAUUACAUGGAAUACCAAUUGCGAAGGCAGGUUACUACUAAUGGAUUGACGCUGAUGGACGAAAGCGUGGGUAGCGAACAGG